AUUGAACGCUGGCGGAAUGCUUUACACAUGCAAGUCGAACGGCAGCACGGGGGCAGCCCUGGUGGCGAGUGGCGAACGGGGGAGUAAUACAUCGGAACGUGCCCGGGCGUGGGGGAUAACGUAGCGAAAGUUACGCUAAUACCGCAUACGAUGUGAUGAUGAAAGAGGGGGACCUUCGGGCCUCGCGCGAUGGUAGCGGCGGAUGGCCGAUUAGGUAGUUGGUGGGGUAAAGGCCUACCAAGCCGAGGAUCUGUAGCUGGUCUGAGAGGACGACCAGCCACACUGGGACUGAGACACGGCCCCGACUCCUGCGGGAGGCAGCAGUGGGGAAUUUUGGACAAUGGGCGAAAGCCUGAUCCAGCCAAUCCGCGUGCAGGACGAAGGCCUUCGGGUUGUAAACUGCUUUUGUACGGAGCGAAAAGGCUCUGGCUAAUCCCUGGGGCUCAUGACGGUACCGUAAGAAUAAGCACCGGCUAACUACGUG
RNAcentral lists this ribosomal RNA (484 nucleotides) under uncultured bacterium. RNAcentral describes it as "partial 16S ribosomal RNA". It matches the Rfam family "Bacterial small subunit ribosomal RNA", at positions 29 to 507 of the family's 1533-position model. The record is from RNAcentral.